The sequence is a transfer RNA, 122 nucleotides long. It matches the Rfam family "tRNA". Rfam says of the family: Transfer RNA (tRNA) molecules are approximately 80 nucleotides in length. Their secondary structure includes four short double-helical elements and three loops (D, anti-codon, and T loops). The record is from Rfam.
GGCAAGAUGGCCGAGUUGGUCUAAGGCGGUAGACUCAAGAGCCUAGUGUUCUUCUUUGGAGCAAAUCCAAGGUUAGGUUUCUACUCUCGAAAGAGGCGCGAGUUCGAAUCUCGCUCUUGUCA